AUUGAACGCUGGCGGCAGGCCUAACACAUGCUAAUCGAACCAGUGGCGGACGGGUGAGUAAUUUCUGGGCAAUUGCCUGAUGGAGGGGGAUAACUACUGGAACCGGUAGCUAAUACCGCAUACCAUCAGAUGUGCCCAGCUGGGAUUAGCUAGUUGGUGGGGUAACGGCUCACCAGGGCGACGAUCCCUAGCUGGUCGGAGAGGAUGACCAGCCAGAACGGAACUGAGAAACGGUCCAGACUCCUACGGGAGGCAGCAGUGUGGAAUAUGGCACAAUGGGCGCAAGCCUGAGGCAGCCAUGCCUCGUGUAUGAAGAAGGCCUUCGGGUUGUAAAGGACUUUCAGCGGGGAGGCGUUACCCGCAGAAGAAGCACCGGCUAACUCCGGGCCAGCCGCCGCGGUAAUAC
RNAcentral lists this ribosomal RNA (406 nucleotides) under uncultured bacterium. Its description in RNAcentral is "partial 16S ribosomal RNA". It matches the Rfam family "Bacterial small subunit ribosomal RNA", at positions 30 to 526 of the family's 1533-position model. The record is from RNAcentral.